This 386-nucleotide ribosomal RNA is filed under the name uncultured bacterium. RNAcentral's name for it is "bacterial SSU rRNA". It matches the Rfam family "Bacterial small subunit ribosomal RNA", at positions 29 to 424 of the family's 1533-position model. The record is from RNAcentral.
AACGAACGCUGGCGGCAUGCCUAACACAUGCAAGUCGAACGAUUAUGGAACUAGCUUGCUAGUGCCCAGAUAGUGGCAGACGGGUGAGUAACGCGUGGGAAUCUACCUAGUAGUACGGAAUAGCCGUUGGAAACGACGAAUAAUACCGUAUAUUCCCUGAGGGGGAAAGAUUUAUCGCUACUAGAUGAGCCCGCGUUAGAUUAGCUAGUUGGUAGGGUAAUGGCCUACCAAGGGCAAUGAUCUAUAGCUGGUCUGAGAGGACGAUCAGCCACGACUGGAACUGAGAUACGGUCCAGACUCCUACGGGAGGCAGCAGUGGGGAAUAUUGGACAAUGGGCGAAAGCCUGAUCCAGCAAUGCCGCGUGAGUGAAGAAGGCCUUAGGGUU